Molecule: transfer RNA, 65 nt
Filed under: Marmota monax (woodchuck)
Lineage: Eukaryota; Metazoa; Chordata; Mammalia; Rodentia; Sciuridae
Description: tRNA.Ala
Source: RNAcentral
GGUUGUGGCUCAGUGGUAGAACACUUGCCUGGCACGUGAGGCCCUGGGUUCAAAUCUCAGCACCG